Non-coding RNA from Drosophila suzukii, 3627 nucleotides. NCBI's taxonomy places the organism in Eukaryota, Metazoa, Arthropoda, Insecta, Diptera, Drosophilidae. The record is from RefSeq and is a predicted model, not a curated record.
UCUUAAACGUCUAUUUAUACCAGUCCACACGAGUCUUUUUUGAGCGAUUGUCAAAUUUUGCGGGAUUCAAUGAGAAGAUACCUUUCUUACGGCCAGGUGUUCUUGCACUAUCGAAUGGAUGCUGGUGGAAAAAAUUCCCACGAAUGCAUGUCUCACGGCAUGUCACAGAUGUCAUUAAAGAAAUCCCUAUGUAUUCUUAUGUAUAUAAAUUUAAGUAUUACCCAAUGUCAACGCUAUUGAUGUCUGUACUUAUUGGGGAUUUCGGGAUUUAAAAACGUGCAGCUUAAGAUGUUGGUAAAAGUUUUAACUUGCAAAUAUACCACCAAUUUUUUUUUAAUUUGUUUUUUUUUUUUCAGUUUUAUGUUUUGCUAAGUCUAAAUCUUUGAAUUUUUGACAAGCUGCUGAUUUAUAAAACAAAAAACUUUAAUUUGUUCCGCUGCAUGGCAUGUGUUAUAUGUAUGUAUGGUGAGGUAUGUGAUUCGUUUAAUUAAAAUUCAUUAUAAUACAGAGCCUCCCUUUUCAAAAACAGAAAUGCACAAUUCCUUCAAAGUGCCAUACUAAUUUUAAAUUACAAGCUAAUUUUGUUAUUCAUCAUCACAAAUAAUUAAAAAACUUAAAAAAUUAAAAAAAAAAUUGAUUGAAACAAAGAAAGUGUAUGAUAAUUUUAAUCCAGGUGGAAAAUUAAUGAUAACUAAAAUACUGAAGACAAGAUAUCAAUGCUAAAAUGCGAUUAAAUCGAAAUUUAAUUUUCUUAAUGCCUUCUCCAAAUUUAUGCAACAACACAAAGCAUUUCAUUCUAAACUCCCCCUUAGCCAAAUUGCUAAGUGUAUGUGGUUUUUUAUUGUCCCAUUCAUCAUCAAUGUCAAUGUCAAUCAAUAAAGUUACACUUGCUACAAAGGAAUAACCCGGUAUAAAUGGUUUCAAAAUGGUAACUUUGUUGUAAUUUAAUUUACCGAAUUAAGUUUAUACAAGAUAAUCAAUUGUGAAUGCUAAGAUGCGAUUACAUUUUGAAACGAUUUCUCUAAUGAAAUUGAAAUCACAAAGUUGAACCUUUAAGCUUACUGCAAUAGAUUUCUUGCAUUACUACUCAGGUUUAUUUAGCCUGUUCAAGAGUUAGCUCUGCUGACUCUUUGUUAUUCUUGCAUCAGAGGGAAAAUUCCAAUUAAUUGUUUAUAGGGGUCUUACAGAGAUUAUUAAAUAAAAUAUGUUUAAUGAAAAGACACAAAAAACAUCAAAAAGCAAAGAUCAUCCAAAGAAGAUCACUGAGGUGCUUUUCUUUUUUUGUGUAUGUCAGUCCUGUGCUUGAUUUUUGAUUAAAAAAAAACAAUCGUGCUCUUAAGUCCUUAACAAAGUCCUUAAUAUUUAACUGUCCAAAAAAGUUAAAGAACAUAAUCUUGUCAAAAAAGCAAGUUAGUUUUCUCGACUUACUUUAUCUUAACGAUAAGCAAUGACAAAGUGCUAUCGAUCACAAAAUUGAGCUUUCUUUGUUUAUUGCGGCUGUUAGGUUAUGCUUAUGUUGAUUAAAAAAUUUCAGCUUAGUAGGAUUUGUAAAAUCUGCUGUCAUUUCAUAGAGUCGAAAAUUAUUUAGCAGAGCGCCUGUCAAAGUUAGUUCUCACAUUGACGACCGAGAAAACUAAAUUUCGUUAUCUGGGACUGAAAAAACUUAAAAAAAUCGUCCAUAUGAACGCUGAUAUAUCCGAAAAUAUAAAAGGUGGAGAGUUGUGAUUUCUGGAUUAAGUUUCUUAGCUUCGAACGCAGCGCAUGUUUAUUACGCUAAUGUGUCACGCUCACUCUAACGCCCACAAGCCGCCCGAAACCGGCUCCUACAGUUUUAGUGCUAGAAACAAAAAUUUUCACUGAUAUAUACACACCUGAUCAUAUUAAUAGGUACACAUUGGAAUUUUUUAAUUAUAAAUUGUUUUUUGGUACUUUUAGUGUUGACAACUUUUUAAUUUUUGGUUUUUUGUUGUUGUCAAUGUCUGGCCAAACUGUGACAAAGAGUUGAAAGAGGGAACGCCCCGUAUAUCAAAGCUUUUCUAUUAAUUGCGAGUCCACCACACAUUUCGCCUGAUCAUAAUAAUAGGUACAGUCUCCGUUUCUCACAAGUAUCGAGUGAAUUAUUUUGUAAUCAGUGAUCAUUUGGUAACUAAAGAAAAAAUGGGUCGAAAUUCUCAUUGUACUAAAGAAGAAGCUCGAUUGGUUCUUAGUCUGAAAAAAGAAGGCAAAUCUUUACGAACCAUCACCAAACUAAUGAACAGGUCUAAUAAUUUUGUUAAAAAUGCAUUAGAAAGAAAACCAAGACAGGAAACCCGUGGAAGGCCACUAAAAUCAACAAAAACCCUUACCACUACAUAGUAACUUUGAGCAAAAAGGACCCAUUUAAGUCAUCGAAGGCUAUUGCAGCCGAAAUUGGGAAUUCAGUUAGUGCUCCAACUAUCCGAAGACGACUACAAGAUGCCAACCUACCAGGAAGAAUUUCCAGAAAAGUCCCACUUAUGCGCAAAAAAAUAUCACCAUGAGGCAAACUUUUGCAAGGGACCACAAAGACUGGGUAGGAUGCACCGGGGAGAAAAAACGGAGAAACAUAUUAUGGAGCGAUGGAACCAAGAUUAAUUUGUUUGGAAAUGACUGAAAGGAAUGUUCGACGCCCCAACGGAAAGGAAUUCCAUCCACGGUUUACAAAAAAAAAACAGUCAAACAUGGAGGUGGCAAUAUAAUGGUAUGGGGUUGCUUCUCCUGGUAUGGCGUAGGUCCAAUUUAUCAGACUACGAACAAAAUGAAUGCUGAAGAGUACAAAUCCAUAUUGGAAACAGUUAUGGUACCGUAUGCUGAGGAAAAUAUGCCAUUACGUUGGGUAUUUCAGCAAGAUAAUGAUCCAAAACACACAUCAAGGCUGUUAUCUACAUUUUUCGAGGACCAAAAAGUUGACGUUCUGAAGUGGCCAAGACAACCCUCCGACCUUAACACCCUUAAAAACUUGUUGGGAGGCUUAAAAAAAAAAUUGGCGAAGCAUUCAUUUUCAAAUAAACAAAAAUUAUCAGAAGGUGUCCAAAAACUGUGGUAUGAGACACCAGUAGAGACCUGCCAGGCUCUUAUUAAAAGUAUGCCAAAAAGAAUAGCAGUAGUGGCCAAAAAUAGAGGUGGAUACACUGGAUACUAAGUAAGGAAAUACUAAUUUACCUAAAAAAAUAAUACAAAAUGGAAAUUAAUAUUUUUUUUCUUACCAACACAUGAAGUGUACCUAUUAUUAUGAUCACACUGAAAACGUAUCUGAAACACAAAAAGAAUCUCUUUUAUGUUAUAUUAUUAUCCUAUGUUACAGAUAAGUUUAUUUUAUUAAAAACAAAUAGUUUAAGAACCAAUGAGAACAAAUAUUAAGUUUGAAACAAUGAAUAAAUCUUUAUUUUGUUACCUUUAAGUCAGAGUUGAUGUGUGUACCUAUUAAUAUGAUCAGGUGUGUAUAUGGAUUUUAUCAAUACCUAUCGAUCGACCUAAAAAAAAUAUUGCCUCGCCCAUAAACCGCCCAAAAACUGGCGCUCACAAUAUUAAUGCUAUAAUACAAAUUUAACUGAAAUGUAUGGGACUUGUCAAUUCCUAUCGGUCCAAUAAAAUAUUCCUGAAAAGUAA